AACGCCUCUAAGUCAGAAUCCAU
RNAcentral lists this unclassified non-coding RNA (23 nucleotides) under Dictyostelium discoideum. Lineage: Eukaryota; Evosea; Eumycetozoa; Dictyosteliales; Dictyosteliaceae. The record is from RNAcentral.